GGAAUUUAGCUCAGUGGUAGAGCACUUUCCUACCAUGAUUGAGGUCCUGGGUUUGAUCCCCAUCACCA
This 68-nucleotide transfer RNA is filed under the name Marmota monax (woodchuck). RNAcentral's name for it is "tRNA.Gly". Lineage: Eukaryota; Metazoa; Chordata; Mammalia; Rodentia; Sciuridae. The record is from RNAcentral.